AGGUUAUGUUGCCUGUACUUACUCCAAGACAAGUGUCAUAUGCCAUAUGGUAAAGAAAAUGUAAUGAAUAUCUAAACUUGCGUCCGUAAUUAGGUUGUGUUGCCAGUAAUUUACCAAGACAAUGAGCAUAUGGUAGAGAGAAUGCAGUAAUAUCUAAACUAUGGCUUUGCGUUUGUAAGUUCGCAGGCAUAGUUGAUUCUAUAAAUGGUGAAAGCCAAUGGUGACUGGAGCACUCUUUUUU
Molecule: unclassified non-coding RNA, 241 nt
Filed under: Hevea brasiliensis (rubber tree)
Lineage: Eukaryota; Viridiplantae; Streptophyta; Magnoliopsida; Malpighiales; Euphorbiaceae
Source: RNAcentral